AUCCACUAGGCAUAGCUACCAGGUAACUCGGGAGAGUGGAAGGCCAAAGUGCCGAUGAAACUCUUUUGCUCUGGGCCUAUCUGAAACCCCCAGACCAGACUCCAUCUUGUGAACUCUCAUCUACUUCUGUGCUAACUGCUUACAUGUCAAAGCAGAAAUGUAUUGGUCAGCGUUUCUGGCAGAUGGCUGCAGUUUCACUCACACUAGCAGAAAUAAUAGAGAUAAGGAGGAGGGAACAGAGAGAGAUAGUUAGUUUGCAGUUGCUUUCCCAUAUAUCCCCAAGGUAUUUAGUGCAAAGGGUCAAGGGAUGUACCUUGUUUUCCCUUCAAAAUGACAAAUGUAUCCGCAACAGAUGUCUUUUGUAUCCCCCCUCCCCAAAAUAAUAUAUGUAUCCUGUGUAACCUAUUAUCUAUCAGUCAGCAUAAUGAUGCAAAAGAAUGAAUGCUAAGUUGUUUGUCUCUCUGUAUAAAAGAAGCUCAGUUGUGCUUGUAAGGUGUGUCUCUUCUGGCAUAAGUCGAGGAGCACCCUCUCAGCUGACUGACAAAUAAAGGACCUGGUACCCGUCUUCUUGUCUCUCCGUGCCUCCUUGGUGUAAAUAGGCACACCAAAGAUUCACAGCCUCUUCUGCUGAAUACUCUGGGUCCACUCCCUUCAGCCUGGUGACUCCGUUCUCGUGCGAACCUGGAAGGACGAGCCUCUCCAAGAAAAGUGGAAGGGACCCCACACCAUCCUGCUUGUCACCCAUACAGUGGCAAAGGUCGAAGGACACAAGAACUGGAUUCAUCACUCUCGACUGAAAGCAGUGCCCACUCCUGAACAGUGGACUGUCCAGCCUGCGGAGAAGACUGCUAACGACGAUUUGGGACUUAGGCUGCUAUUCAAAAGACAGUAAGGGUCGCUGGGAGUGCGUUGUGAUCUUUCUGAAUAGUCACGGCAUACUCCCCGCGAGAACCCUGAGCAUUGGUUUUAUUUUCAUUGAUAAUCCUGAUUGCAUGGAGCUUAAUCGCAUUUUGUCUUUAGAGUAUGAGAAAACUCUGACAAAGGUUUGUUGAGUGUUCUCAAAGGGGGGAUUGUUGGGAUCCACUAGGCAUAGCUACCAGGUAACUCGGGAGAGUGGAAGGCCAAAGUGCCGAUGAAACUCUUUUGCUCUGGGCCUAUCUGAAACCCCCAGACCAGACUCCAUCUUGUGAACUCUCAUCUACUUCUGUGCUAACUGCUUACAUGUUAAAGCAGAAAUGUAUUGGUCAGCGUUUCUGGCAGAUGGCUGCAGUUUCACUCACACUAGCAGAAAUAAUAGAGAUAAGGAGGAGGGAACAGAGAGAGAUAGUUAGUUUGCAGUUGCUUUCCCAUAUAUCCCCAAGGUAUUUAGUGCAAAGGGUCAAGGGAUGUACCUUGUUCUCCCUUCAAAAUGACAAAUGUAUCCGCAACAGAUGUCUUUUGUAUCCCCCCUCCCCAAAAUAAUAUAUGUAUCCUGUGUAACCUAUUAUCUAUCAGUCAGCAUGAUGCAAAAGAAUGAAUGCUAAGUUGUUUGUCUCUCUGUAUAAAAGAAGCUCAGUUGUGCUUGUAAGGUGUGUCUCUUCUGGCAUAAGUCGAGGAGCACCCUCUCAGCUGACUGACAAAUAAAGGACCUGGUACCCGU
This is a long non-coding RNA of Malaclemys terrapin pileata, 1639 nucleotides long. RefSeq lists it as uncharacterized. The record is from RefSeq and is a predicted model, not a curated record. NCBI's taxonomy places the organism in Eukaryota, Metazoa, Chordata, Testudines, Emydidae. The transcript is spliced from 2 exons.